ACAAUUGAAAUUCUUCUUCCGUGGACAGGAACCCAUGAUGGAGCAAAACACAAGUUUUCUUACGAGCUUGUUGGACGUGCUUAUGGUUUAUCUCAUUUCUAUGUCUCAGAGAAAUGCUCGUUCAGCUAACAAUUUGACCUCUUUGAAAGCAUUUGUCCUGUGUCUCAAUGGUUUGCCAAUGCCUCCUGCUGGCCACUGGGUGCCACCCUUUGUCUAGGUAAAGAACAGCUUUGCUGCACAUGCACUCAGUUUUAAGUGGCUCUGGCAAAGACAUGCAUGCCUGAUAUAUAGCUUUGCAUAUUUAAGAAGAGAUACAAGUGUAGCUUCCACUCAAGGGAAAAAUCUCAUCUGCAGACAGGCUUUCGUGUCAGGGACACCUUGACGAAGACUGCGUGACUGAGCUUUCCGUGUUUCACAACCAGAGCAGGGAGAGCAUAUCGGAAUUAAUAUCACAGGCAAAAUAGACUCAAACUAAAAACGUCUGGAUGAACAACGGAUGUCAUGCACUGGCUUAACUCCUUGCUUUGAACUGUUCUGACUGGGAAGAGAAAACUGUCAGUGCAUCACUCAGCCAGGCUAUAAAAUAAGCGUGGGGGGAUUUUCGCAAACUUGUGAAGAAGUGAAUCUGUUCCUGUCCCAUUGGAAUAUACAUGGCAAAAGCUGAGCUGACUACCUGUAGAGGAAUUGUACCAAUGUGUUAGCGGUGGUAUUCUAAGCUGGUAGACGAGACUUGCAACAUGAGGUGGACUCCGGCCUUAAAGUGAAUCUGAAAAUUGUCCUUUGAAUUUUUUUUUUAUUUAUUUUACUGUGUAGAAUGAAGACUUGGGAUAAAAUCUUUUCACAUAACUGUAGCAGAAAGAGACUUUCAAAAUACGCGUUCUACUUAAAAUUUAUAAAUUUGGGGGUAAAGACUG
Long non-coding RNA from Oxyura jamaicensis (ruddy duck), 914 nucleotides. RefSeq lists it as uncharacterized. NCBI's taxonomy places the organism in Eukaryota, Metazoa, Chordata, Aves, Anseriformes, Anatidae. The transcript is spliced from 3 exons. The record is from RefSeq and is a predicted model, not a curated record.